Molecule: ribosomal RNA, 462 nt
Filed under: uncultured bacterium
Lineage: Bacteria
Description: bacterial SSU rRNA
Rfam family: Bacterial small subunit ribosomal RNA
Source: RNAcentral
ACUCCUACGAGAGGCAGCAGUGGGGAAUAUUGCACAAUGGGGAAACCCUGAUGCAGCCAUGCCGCGUGUGUGAAGAAGGCCUUCGGUUGUAAAGCACUUUCAGUAGGGAGGAAGGUAGUGUAGUUAACACCUGCACUAUUUGACGUUACCUACAGAAGAAGCACCGGCUAACUCCGUGCCAGCAGCCGCGGUAAUACGGAGGGUGCGAGCGUUAAUCGGAAUUACUGGGCGUAAAGCGCAUGCAGGCGGCCUGUUAAGUCAGAUGUGAAAGCCCGGGGGCUUAACCUCGGAAUUGCAUUUGAAACUGGCAGGCUAGAGUCUUGUAGAGGGGGUAGAAUUUCAGGUGUAGCGGUGAAAUGCGUAGAGAUCUGAAGGAAUACCAGUGGCGAAGGCGGCCCCCUGGACAAAGACUGACGCUCAGAUGCGAAAGCUGGGGAGCAAACAGGAUUAGAUACCCUGGUG